CAUGUGCUAUGGAUUUUCUCAUCACUCAGCUGAUUUUUUCUUCAACUUACUAAGCAAGUUCUGUCACAAUUACACUAUGUACUCAGAUAUUUUUUCACUAUUUCUUCACGCUACUAAGGUCCCAAUGCUGUGAUAUAUCUCUUCAUGCUACUAAAAUUUUCAAUGCUAUAUUAUAAAUUCUGUAUCCUUUCCUCUACAUCAUUCAAAUUUAACUCUUAACAAUCAUUAAGCAAUACCCAAAAGUUUUCCUCUCCCCAUGACAAAAUAUCCACUACUCCUCUUACUUUAAAUUUCAAGAAUCUAUACUAUAAAAUCUGCUAUGUAUAUCAUCUAAGAUAUCUUUUACAAAUAUUAGCUUAUUUUAUGCUCAAUAACCAUCCAAAAUUUAACUUCAAUGAUACUAUUAUUGAUCCAAUUCCUUAAUCAUUUUUCUUCUUAAUUAAUAACUAGA
This 451-nucleotide long non-coding RNA is filed under the name Elaeis guineensis (African oil palm). RNAcentral describes it as "long non-coding RNA (EGUI_LNC047504)". The record is from RNAcentral. Lineage: Eukaryota; Viridiplantae; Streptophyta; Magnoliopsida; Arecales; Arecaceae.